UUUCAUGGCUACAAAAUGAGAUUAUGUUAGCGAUCUUACUAAUGAGGGUAUGUUGCCGUGUUAAUGUACAUGCUAGUGUGAAUAUGUGACUGUUAUGAGCUCCCACACAGUUCAUUAUAUGGCUACAAGAUGAGAUUAUGUUAGCGAUCUUACCAGUGAGGGGAUGUUGCCGUGUUUAUAUCCAUGCUAGUGUGAAUAUAUGACUUAUGAGCUCCCACACAGUUCAUUAUAUGGGUACAAGAUGAGAUUAUGUUAGCGAUCUUACCAGUGAGGGGAUGUUGCCGUGUUUAUAUCCAUGCUAGUGUGAAUAUGUGACUGUUUGUUUGUGUUACGAGCUACCACACAGUUUAUUACAUGGCUACAAGAUGAGGUUAUGUUAGUGAUCUUACCAAUGAGGGGAUGUUGCCGUGUUAAUGUCCAUGCUAGUGGGAAUAUGUGGCUGUUUAUUUUGUGUUACAAGCUCCUACACAGUACGUCAUAUGGCCACAAAAUGAGAUUAUGUUAGCGACCUUACCAGUGAGGGGAUGUUGCCGUGUUUAUGUCCAUGCUAGUGAGAAUAUAUGACUUAUGAGCUCCCACACAGUACGUUAUAUGGCUACAAGAUGAGAUUGUGUUACUGACCUUAUUGUUGAGGGGAUGCUACAGUGUUUAUGUCCAUGCUAGUGAGAAUGUGAAUGUGUUACGAGCUGCCACACCUUCCGUUACAUGGCUAUUAGUUUAUGUCACAUUACCGAUCCUACUAAUGAGGGAAUGUUACGAUGUUUAUAUAUGUUCAUGCCCGUGUGAAUGCGUAACUGUCUCUGUGUGUUACAAGCUACCACACAGUUUGUUACGUUGUGGUUACAAGCUUAUGUUAUGUUACUACUCUGUCCAUGGCAGUGUGGAUGUGACUUUUAACCUGUUAGCGGCGUCGGGCCAAAUUUGAGGCUUUACGGUGUACCAGCGACGGGCCAGAUUUGUGCCAUGAUAAAGACCCCCAAAAAUAGAUGAUGCAUAAAAUGAUCACAAAUGCGUUGAAACAUAUUAUGAAAUGGUUUGCGGAUUUUUUCUCAUUUUUCUCGCUUGGAGGGGCCAUUAAGAAACAUGGUCCCCGCAGCUACUGGGUUAAGAGCUCCCACACAGUUCGUUACAUGACUUCCUUCACCUCACUUCCCCAAGCUGGCGUUUAGGGUGCUAUUCUCAGACACUUCCGACGCCCAUAUGAACCACUUCCCACGGCCAAAACGGAGAUUCACCCACUUCUAAUGACUAUUGCUUUAGGUUCAUGGUACAGAGGAAAGGGUCAAACUACCACCAGGAUCAUAAAACUACCCUUGGAAGUGCCCCAAACUCUUACAAAGGCCAAAACAGAGAUUAACCCACUUCUAAUGACUAUUGGUUUAGGUUCAUGGUACAGAGGAAAGGGUCAAACUAUCACCAGGAUCAUAAAACUACCCUUGGAAGUGCCCCAAACUCUUACAAAGGCCAAAACAGAGAUUAACCCACAUCUAAUGACUAUUGUUUUAGGUUCAUGGUACAGAAGAAGGGUCAGACUACCACCAGGAUCAUAAAACUACCCCUGGAAAUGCCUGAAGCUCUUACAAAACCCUUGUCAAACUUUAAUAUGUGUUUUGAGUCUGGUUUGGUUGAUGUAUUGUUUUAGGUUCAUGGUACAGAGGAAAGGGUCACACUACCACCAGGAUCAUAAAACUACCCAUGGAAAUACCUCAAACUCCUACGAAACCUUUGUCAAACUUUAAUAUGUAUUUUGAGUCUGGUUUGGUUGAUACAUUAUGGUUAUAUUGGAUGCAGAAGUGUGUUAGAACAUGACCCUUAGUCCAUGCAGCCCCCAGGAGUCGGAUGUCAGGCCCCGGCACACUUCAUUAUUGUGAUCUGGGGCGGGGCUGUCCUGGGGCGGCCUCACAAAGGUGCUCACUCGUUCGUUACCUCGGGAGUCAAGGCGUUCUUCAGGUGUUCAGUCACUACGCUAAUCUGUAUGUAAGGUUCCAAUUUGUACUCACCAGGAAAAUAGUACUGUUGAAAAUAAGCUUGAUUGUAGGUUGUGGGCUCGAGUGUACAGAAAAUGAGGUCAGUAUUGUAUUAGGGAAAUUGAGCUACAGGGAAUCGACCUUGAAUUUAUUGAUAACUGAGCUUAGGUUAUGGGCUCUUGAGUAAACAGGAAAUGAGGUCAGUUUUGUAUAAAGGAAAUUGAGUUUGAGUGUAUAGAUAAUUGAGCUUAGGUUAUGGGCUCUUGAGUAAACAGGAAAUGAGGUCAGUUUUGUAUAAGGGAAUUGAGCUUGUACUACAGGGAAAAUUGAGCUUGAGUUUAUAGAUAAUUGAGUGUAGGAUUGAGCUUUUGAGUAUAUGGAAGAUGAGGUCAGUUGUGUAUAUGGGAAAUUGAGCUUGUACUACAGGG
Long non-coding RNA from Eriocheir sinensis (Chinese mitten crab), 2395 nucleotides. RefSeq lists it as uncharacterized. The transcript has 3 exons. NCBI's taxonomy places the organism in Eukaryota, Metazoa, Arthropoda, Malacostraca, Decapoda, Varunidae. The record is from RefSeq and is a predicted model, not a curated record.